GUCUCUGUGGUGCAACGGUUACCGCAGCCGCCUCCAAAGCGGGAAUUCCGGGUUCGAUUCCCGGCGGAGAUA
RNAcentral lists this transfer RNA (72 nucleotides) under Penaeus vannamei (Pacific white shrimp). RNAcentral describes it as "Litopenaeus vannamei (Pacific white shrimp) tRNA". It matches the Rfam family "tRNA". Rfam says of the family: Transfer RNA (tRNA) molecules are approximately 80 nucleotides in length. Their secondary structure includes four short double-helical elements and three loops (D, anti-codon, and T loops). Further hydrogen bonds mediate the characteristic L-shaped molecular structure. tRNAs have two regions of fundamental functional importance: the anti-codon, which is responsible for specific mRNA codon recognition, and the 3' end, to which the tRNAs corresponding amino acid is attached (by aminoacyl-tRNA synthetases). tRNAs cope with the degeneracy of the genetic code in two manners: having more than one tRNA (with a specific anti-codon) for a particular amino acid; and 'wobble' base-pairing, i.e. permitting non-standard base-pairing at the 3rd anti-codon position. The record is from Rfam by way of RNAcentral. Lineage: Eukaryota; Metazoa; Arthropoda; Malacostraca; Decapoda; Penaeidae.